CAAAGCCGCGAGGUGGAGCAAAUCCUAAAAAGCCGGUCUCAGUUCGGAUUGCAGGCUGCAAUUCGCCUGCAUGAAGUCGGAAUCGCUAGUAAUCGCAGGUCAGCAUACUCGCGGUGAAUACGUUCCCGGGCCUU
RNAcentral lists this ribosomal RNA (134 nucleotides) under uncultured Bacillus sp. RNAcentral describes it as "partial 16S ribosomal RNA". It matches the Rfam family "Bacterial small subunit ribosomal RNA", at positions 1250 to 1382 of the family's 1533-position model. The record is from RNAcentral. Lineage: Bacteria; Bacillati; Bacillota; Bacilli; Caryophanales; Bacillaceae.